CUGUCCGGAGUACAUCACCAUGUCUUCCAGGCUCCUCUGGACCGUGACCGUUUCUCAAACUUUCCUUGUUUUUGAUAACCUUAAUAGUUUUGAAGCGACUUAUUGGUCAUUUGGUCAAAUGUCCUUCAAUUGGGUUUUGCCUGUAUUUUUCUCAUGCAUUAACUGAGGUUAUGGGUUUUUCUUGAGUUAAGAGGCUCCAUACCUACCUAACAUCUAUCUUCUCAAGAACUCUGCCAGGGAAGGAGUAGUUUCUGUGUUUCAUAAACAGACUGAGACUCAAAGAGGCUAAGUAAACUACCUGAAGCCAUAUAUAGCAACACACAAUGACGGAUGUGAGAUUCAAACUUGGAUUUAUCUGGCUCCAAAAUUUCUAGUUUUUUUUUUUUUUUUUUUCCCACUACAGCAAAACUAAGGAGAAGAGACAGAGAAAACACUAGAUCUGAAUAACAAAGGAUGCAUACUUAAGCAAACUAAGGCAUAUAUAGUUAUCACUAAAUGCUCAACCUGGAAAGAAUACUGGAUUGCAGUCUGCUUUUUCUGUAAAGACAAUAGUAUUAUAAAACCGAAAGAGACAACAGGGAAUAUUUCCCACUCAACUAAGCAUAUCUAAAAGCACAUUUGAAGUUUGGAGACAAUAUUCUGUGUUAUUUUAAGAAAAGAUUCUAUAGCAUUAUUACCUGGUGGUAAGAAAAUAACAUGUAAAAGAAAAGGUAAUAAGAAUAAAAAAAAUAAGUAAAAGUAUGUGAACAUGCUAGACCUGGUUAUACAACUCAACUGUUGAGAAUGCAUUUUUGAAGUUGCCUGCAUGGUUGCUGCAAGCGUUCUUCAGUAUUUAGUAUAUGAAGACAGGCAUAUGCUCUGGCCAUUUCCAGAAAAGCCAAGGCUAUCCUGUAUAUUCUAGCCAUCUGUUGUUAGGUGAAAUGCGUGAAUGGCAUAGAGAAAUGUUAUGGAGAGUGAAUGUUACAUGCCUCUGAGAUACAAUAGAAAAGAAGCCCUUGAUUUAAUAUUUUGGUUCUUAGUUUGACUGUGAUUUAUAGGGAGUGAUAUUGCCCUGGGCCUUUCUGUCUCCUUUGUAUCAGGAAAUGAUUUGGUUUAGAGAAAAGCAGGCAAAGGUUUUAGUGGGACUCCCACCAGGAUAAUGGCCUUCUUUGUUCCUAGCUACUUCUUGAGGUGACUAUGGCUAUCCUUUAGGCCCCAAGCAUGUGGACAGAGUCGAGAACAGGGUUAAGGAGAAGAUUUAAGCAAAAUCUCUUUAGUCACUGAGCAAGAAGCACCUAUAAGUUGCAUUUUGUAAACUCAGAGGAUUUGGUCUGUGGUGAUCUAGCUACAUAAGAACUGGAAAUGCCUAGGUUUAAAAUCGGGGUAUAAAGCAACCCAGAGCUUGUUAGAUAUGCAAGAUCUCUGGCCCUAUCCCCAAACUACUGUCCCAGAAUAUGUAUUUUAACAAGGUUGCUAGUGACUCAUAUGCUCAAUAAUGUUUGAAAAGCCCUGCCCCAGACUCUUGAAUAGGAUUGGCCAGGAGGUGGGAAAAGGGAUGGUAGCAGUGGUGCUUGCAAUGUACAUAGCCCCAGAUAUAUAGAAUCAGAAUCUGUAAGAGUGGAGACUUAGGAAUCUAUGUUUUAACAAGCUCCUCAGGGAAUUUUUAUAAACACUGCAAUUUGAAGAUCACAGGUAAGAAAUAAAAACAGUUCAGGGGAGAAGUGCAAUAUACACUAUGAACACCAGCUGUCAGUACUCUACAAUUUAAAAAUGACCUUGAUGGUUAAUAGUGAAAAGAAUUAUUACAAGAACAUUUUCUAAAUUUGAAAUGUAAAGAUCUAGGGAACAUGAGCUCUAAGUUAAACAGAUUUGAAUUAUCCUGUGAUUUUAUCAAAGAUCUCUAGACAUAUAAAUAGUUUACAGAGAGUAGUGGUUGGAGAUUUAGAGAUUUUGGGUACAUGUGAGUAAGUCCAUGUCAGAAUAAUGUCUUACUAUACUUGGGAAAAUAAAGUGAAUGCUUUUGUGGUUUUAAAACCAAACUGGACUCUACAGUUUGAAAGUAUGUAAGGCAGGUCAAUGACUCUUUCUAAGAAUAUCUUUUCAUUUUCUUGGCAUUAUGUCCUGAUGUUACUGGGUUUUUCAGGUACUUAAUUUUCAUGUGUAGCUCAGGGAUUAAAAGUCUUGUGCAGUAUUCAAAGGAACUUUUUCUGUAUUUGUAGACACUGCACCAUACUGGGAGACUUGGAUUCGAAUUCUGUCUUUUCCUUAUAGCCUCGUGCAGAUUACAAUGACAAUUCCUUAACAUCUCUGAGUCUUUUAGUGUGCAUAAAAAUACCCACAUAAGGGUUGUCAAGAGGAGGAUCCAGAUAAUAUAAUAAAUAUGAAAUGCUCUACCAAUUAUGAAGCAUUAAAUAAAUGCAAGGUAGUACUUGAAUGCUUAUGGCAUUGGGCUUUCACUUUUAUAUUUGAUCUUUGGAACCCCACUAUAGCACCCAUUUCCAUAAAAAUGACUCAGGUUUCACUAGGAGCCUAGUUACUUUUCCUAGUUAGGUAUUUUUUUUUUCCCCACCCCAAAUAGCGUUGCCUGAUAAAAUACUGGACAGCCAGGUAAGUUUGAUAUAAAGUUUGAUUUCAUGUAAACAAUGAUUUCUU
RNAcentral lists this long non-coding RNA (2631 nucleotides) under Homo sapiens (human). Its description in RNAcentral is "HSALNT0306508". The record is from RNAcentral. Lineage: Eukaryota; Metazoa; Chordata; Mammalia; Primates; Hominidae.